This 101-nucleotide small nucleolar RNA is filed under the name Echinops telfairi (small Madagascar hedgehog). Its description in RNAcentral is "Small nucleolar RNA SNORA42/SNORA80 family (ENSETEG00000023765.1)". The record is from RNAcentral. Lineage: Eukaryota; Metazoa; Chordata; Mammalia; Afrosoricida; Tenrecidae.
AUAUGAAAAGUCACAGUGUCCCAUGCCAAAGCAAACUGUCACCCCGAACCAUUGCCUGGCUUUACCCCGUGGGCUUCUGCACUGAAGCGGGUUGCACAGUA